GAANUUAAAGGCUGUGGCUUAACCAUAGUACGCUUUGGAAACUGUUUAACUUGAGUGCAGAAGGGGAGAGUGGAAUUCCAUGUGUAGCAGUGAAAUGCGUAGAUAUAUGGAGGAACACCGGUGGCGAAAGCGGCUCUCUGGUCUGUAACUGACGCUGAGGCUNGAAAGCGUGGGGAGCGAACAGGAUUAGAUACCCUGGUAGUCCACGCCGUAAACGAUGAGUGCUAGGUGUUAGGCCCUUUCCGGGGCUUAGUGCCGCAGCUAACGCAUUAAGCACUCCGCCUGGGGAGUACGACCGCAAGGUUGAAACUCAAAGGAAUAGACGGGGGCCCGCACAAGCGGUGGAGCAUGUGGUUUAAUUCGAAGCAACGCGAAGAACCUUACCAGGUCUUGACAUCCCGAUGCCCGCUCUAGAGAUAGAGUUUUACUUCGGUACACCGGUGACAGGUGGUGCAUGGUUGUCGUCAGCUCGUGUCGUGAGAUGUUGGGUUAAGUCCCGCAACGAGCGCAACCCUUAUUGUUAGUUGCCAUCAUUCAGUUGGGCACUCUAGCGAGACUGCCGGUAAUAAACCGGAGGAAGGUGGGGAUGACGUCAAAUCAUCAUGCCCCUUAUGACCUGGGCUACACACGUGCUACAAUGGCUGGUACAACGAGUCGCAAGUCGGUGACGGCAAGCUAAUCUCUUAAAGCCAGUCUCAGUUCGGAUUGUAGGCUGCAACUCGCCUACAUGAAGUCGGAAUCGCUAGUAAUCGCGGAUCAGCACGCCGCGGUGAAUACGUUCCCGGGCCUUGUACACACCGCCCGUCACACCACGAGAGUUUGUAACACCCGAAGUCGGUGAGGUAACCUUUUAGGAGCCAGCCG
Molecule: ribosomal RNA, 864 nt
Filed under: uncultured bacterium
Lineage: Bacteria
Description: bacterial SSU rRNA
Rfam family: Bacterial small subunit ribosomal RNA
Source: RNAcentral